Molecule: ribosomal RNA, 859 nt
Filed under: Caliciopsis indica
Lineage: Eukaryota; Fungi; Ascomycota; Eurotiomycetes; Coryneliales; Coryneliaceae
Description: eukaryotic LSU rRNA
Rfam family: Eukaryotic large subunit ribosomal RNA
Source: RNAcentral
ACAGGGAUUGCCUCAGUAACGGCGAGUGAAGCGGCAACAGCUCAAAUUUGAAAUCNGNCUCCUUUUGGGGUCCGAGUUGUAAUUUGUAGAGGAUGUUUGGGNGCGCCCACGGUCUAAGUUCUCUGGAACGAGACGUCAUAGAGGGGUGAGAAUCCCGUCUGAGANCGCCNGNNCAAGCCCGUGUAAAACUCNUUCGACGAGUCGAGUUGUUUGGGAAUGCAGCUCAAAAUGGGUGGUAAAUUUCAUCUAAAGCUAAAUAUUGGCCAGAGACCGAUAGCGCACAAGUAGAGUGAUCGAAAGAUGAAAAGCACUUUGAAAAGAGAGUUAAACAGCAUGUGAAAUUGUUGAAAGGGAAGCUCUUGCGACCAGACUCACCCACGGGGGUUCCCCGGGCGUUCUCGCCCGGUCACUCCCCCGCCGGUUGGGCCAGCAUCGGUUUGGGGCGGUCGGUCAAAGGCCUCUGGAAGGUAUCAUCCCCCGGGAUGUCUUAUAGCCAGAGGUGCAAUGCGGCCUGCCUGGAUCGAGGAACGCGCUUCGGCACGGAUGCUGGCGUAAUGGUCGUAAGCGACCCGUCUUGAAACACGGACCAAGGAGUCAACCAACUAUGCGAGUGUUUGGGUGUCAAACCCCGGCGCGCAAUGAAAGUGAACGGAGGUGGGAACCUUAGGGUGCACCAUCGACCGAUCCUGAUGUCUUCGGAUGGAUUUGAGUAAGAGCAUAGCUGGUUGGACCCGAAAGAUGGUGAACUAUGCCUGAAUAGGGUGAAGCCAGAGGAAACUCUGGUGGAGGCUCGCAGCNGUUCUGACGUGCAAAUCGAUCGUCAAAUUUGGGUAUAGGGGCGAAAGACUAAUCGAACCAU